GAGCCAAGAAAGCCUUUAUUGGAGUCUGCAAUUCCCAGGAAAUGGACAGGAGAUAUGGUAUUGGACAAUGAGAGAGUAUGACCACCUAACCGACAUUGGGCAUUAUAUUGUAUAUUUGCAUCCAUUAUCUCACUUAAUAAUCAAAGUGACCAUGCAAGAUAAGAUAAUUGGGGUUUCAAGAGCAGCUAGCCCACAGUCCUACAGCAUUUAUGUUGCAUGGCUAAACUCACAUCUGCCUGAUUUCAAGCUUGGCUUUUAAUCCUAGGUAAUAUUGCCUCUGUUUUCAUCUUCAGAAGAGCUUAGAUGAGAAGAUAUCUAGGUGAUCACACAUUCAUACUAGAUUAAGCUAAAAAGUAAAUUGGAUAGAAGAGGAAGCGUUCCUUGCUUUGUUACAUUUAAUCAGAUGGUUGGUAUUUAUUAUGCACCCAAAGGAUUUCUUGCACUAAAUAAAGAAGUCCAAAACCAUAACCAA
Molecule: long non-coding RNA, 472 nt
Organism: Suricata suricatta (meerkat)
Lineage: Eukaryota; Metazoa; Chordata; Mammalia; Carnivora; Herpestidae
Exons: 3
Source: RefSeq, a predicted model, not a curated record